UGAGAUGUCGGAUUUGGCCUCUUUUGGCUAUCAUUCUUGGCAGCAAGUCUUUCUCUUGUGCGUGGACUAUCACCGGUUUUGCUGCCGGUUUUGGUGUUCUGCCAUGGGGUUGGUAAGUUCUCUUUUCUGGACUUGGUCGACGGGGGGGAUUGCUAGGCUGAUUUGGGUUGCUUUGGUUCGUCCUUUGCAAUUUUUCAUUUCAGUUUGUUAAUUCUGUUCCUCAAGGUAAAGCAAAGGAGUCGUUUCCUCCUAUUCUUUUCUAAUAUAAAUUGAAAUAAAUGGUGAAGUUGAUCAAGCAAUGGUUGCUUUUGACAGUGUUUGUGAUCACAGAGAUUCCAAAAUCAAUAUAAGAGGGCGAGAUGGGGGCGAAGCUCUCCAGCAAUGGAAAUUUUAUCCGUAGGAAUUCAAUCACCCAUGGCCAUGGAUCUUCUGCUGCAUUUUAGUUUUUCGUUUUUUUUUUUUCGAUUUCUUGAAACAGCCGCAUACUGUGUAUUCUUUGUUGGUGGGAAUUCCAAUUUUUUUUCUUGAAACAAUCGAUUCGUUGAACUACUUUUAA
This 556-nucleotide long non-coding RNA is filed under the name Salvia miltiorrhiza (redroot sage). Its description in RNAcentral is "long non-coding RNA (SMIL_LNC005039)". Lineage: Eukaryota; Viridiplantae; Streptophyta; Magnoliopsida; Lamiales; Lamiaceae. The record is from RNAcentral.